GCGUAAUAGCUCACUGGUCGAGUCGGCCUGCGCGGAAGAUGUAACGGGGCUAAACCAUGCACCGAAGCUGCGGCAGCGACACUGUGUGUUGUUGGGUAGGGGAGCGUUCUGUAAGCCUGUGAAGGUGUGUCGUGAGGCAUGCUGGAGGUAUCAGAAGUGCGAAUGCUGACAUAAGUAACGAUAAAGCGGGUGAAAAGCCCGCUCGCCGGAAGACCAA
Molecule: ribosomal RNA, 217 nt
Filed under: Salmonella enterica subsp. enterica serovar Saintpaul
Lineage: Bacteria; Pseudomonadati; Pseudomonadota; Gammaproteobacteria; Enterobacterales; Enterobacteriaceae
Description: partial 23S ribosomal RNA
Rfam family: Bacterial large subunit ribosomal RNA
Source: RNAcentral